AUGUUUCCCUGGAUGUUGCUGGCUGUGCUUUGUGCUCUUCCAAAUAAUUGGCUACUCUCUGGUUUGUGGUUGGGGUUUGAUUUUUCUGCUUGUUUGUUUCUUCCAUCAUGGCCUUUUUGCCAUGGGGACUGGGAAGAGAGGCCUGCUCCCCUCGGUUUGUGUUUGCUUUGUAACUUCCGCUGGGAACUGUCCCCUUGCUUGUGUCUCCUUUCCAGUUAG
Molecule: long non-coding RNA, 219 nt
Filed under: Prunus dulcis (almond)
Lineage: Eukaryota; Viridiplantae; Streptophyta; Magnoliopsida; Rosales; Rosaceae
Description: sRNA ncRNA
Source: RNAcentral